UGGAUUCAUCUGGUGCGUGAAGUCUUCCUUAGGGUUUUUUCUGAAAGGGGCGUGAGGCACUUAGGGUUCUUCCUAAGAAUCCUAGGCGUGAGUUUUAGGGAAGAGAGAAAAGAAAAGAGAAUGGAUUCUCUAGGUUUUCAUCUUUCAUCUACCUCCUAUUCCUCUUCUGAGAUCUGAGAGAGUUUGAAAGAUCUGAAGAAGAAAUCAGCAUCAAUCAUCAGGAGAUGACUUCUGCAAGGGAGCUAGCAUCCCAGUGAAGUCAGGAGCCUCUGAUCGGAUUCAGGACUUCGUGUAGAUACCUAUAGAGACUGAACAUAUGUGCGGCUCUGCAGGAACCUCAUCAGAUUAUCACGAUCAUCAGCAGUGAAGAUCAUCAAUCCGCAUAAAGAUAUGGAGAUCGGAUCUUUGGAUUUUUGAUAUUUUUUAAAUUUGAUUUUUAUUUUCAGCAUCUUAAUCUAGCAUGUGAUAGAUCCUAGGGUGGCAUUAGAUUAGAUCUCAUGCGUGCAUGAUAGAUUAAAUUAGAUUCAAUCAGAUUUAAAAUAUUUUUGCUACUAGAUUUUUUUUAAAAACAAAUUCAGCAUGCACAUCUAAUUAGGAGAUGAGAUUUUUUAGAUUUUUCUUUAAGUAUAAAUAUAUGUGUCAGAUUGAUUGGCUUCCAAGACAUACAUCUAACAUAUAGC
RNAcentral lists this long non-coding RNA (680 nucleotides) under Elaeis guineensis (African oil palm). RNAcentral's name for it is "long non-coding RNA (EGUI_LNC037876)". Lineage: Eukaryota; Viridiplantae; Streptophyta; Magnoliopsida; Arecales; Arecaceae. The record is from RNAcentral.